Cynoglossus semilaevis (tongue sole) is the source of this 132-nucleotide small nucleolar RNA. Ensembl annotates it as small nucleolar RNA SNORA68. The record is from Ensembl. Lineage: Eukaryota; Metazoa; Chordata; Actinopteri; Pleuronectiformes; Cynoglossidae.
UUUGCACCCAUAACCCAAGCUCAUGCCUUUCUCAGUGGUGUGAUCUUUUUUGGGGUGCAGAGAGUAAAUGAUCCUUGUCGCCUUUCUCUGAUGCUGCUGUGCCUUUGAAAGUGAAUCCAAGGUUCAACAAAC